This 731-nucleotide ribosomal RNA is filed under the name Pseudomonas monteilii. Its description in RNAcentral is "bacterial SSU rRNA". It matches the Rfam family "Bacterial small subunit ribosomal RNA", at positions 30 to 749 of the family's 1533-position model. The record is from RNAcentral. Lineage: Bacteria; Pseudomonadati; Pseudomonadota; Gammaproteobacteria; Pseudomonadales; Pseudomonadaceae.
UCGGCGUGCACCGACCACUAGCCAUGCAGUCGAGCGGAUGACGGGAGCUUGCUCCUUGAUUCAGCGGCGGUAGGGUGAGUAAUGCCUAGGAAUCUGCCUGGUAGUGGGGGACAACGUUUCGAAAGGAACGCUAAUACCGCAUACGUCCUACGGGAGAAAGCAGGGGACCUUCGGGCCUUGCGCUAUCAGAUGAGCCUAGGUCGGAUUAGCUAGUUGGUGGGGUAAUGGCUCACCAAGGCGACGAUCCGUAACUGGUCUGAGAGGAUGAUCAGUCACACUGGAACUGAGACACGGUCCAGACUCCUACGGGAGGCAGCAGUGGGGAAUAUUGGACAAUGGGCGAAAGCCUGAUCCAGCCAUGCCGCGUGUGUGAAGAAGGUCUUCGGAUGGUAAAGCACUUUAAGUUGGGAGGAAGGGCAGUAAGUUAAUACCUUGCUGUUUUGACGUUACCGACAGAAUAAGCACCGGCUAACUCUGUGCCAGCAGCCGCGGUAAUACAGAGGGUGCAAGCGUUAAUCGGAAUUACUGGGCGUAAAGCGCGCGUAGGUGGUUUGUUAAGUUGGAUGUGAAAGCCCCGGGGCUCAACCUGGGGAACUGCAUCCAAAAACUGGGCAAGCUAGAGUACGGUAGAGGGUGGUGGAAUUUUCCCUGUGUAGCGGUGAAAUGCGUAGGAUAUGAGGAAGGAACACCAGUGGCCGAAAGGCGACCACCUGUACUGAUACUGACCCUUG